GAUGAACGCUGGCGGCGUGCCUAAUACAUGCAAGUCGAGCGAACAGAUAAGGAGCUUGCUCCUUUGACGUUAGCGGCGGACGGGUGAGUAACACGUGGGUAACCUACCUAUAAGACUGGAAUAACUCCGGGAAACCGGGGCUAAUGCCGGAUAACAUUUAGAACCGCAUGGUUCUAAAGUGAAAGAUGGUUUUGCUAUCACUUAUAGAUGGACCCGCGCCGUAUUAGCUAGUUGGUAAGGUAACGGCUUACCAAGGCAACGAUACGUAGCCGACCUGAGAGGGUGAUCGGCCACACUGGAACUGAGACACGGUCCAGACUCCUACGGGAGGCAGCAGAAGGGAAUCGUCCGCAAUGGGCGAAAGCCUGACGGAGCAACGCCGCGUGAGUGAUGAAGGUCUUCGGAUCGUAAAACUCUGUUAUUAGGGAAGAACAAAUGUGUAAGUAACUGUGCACGUCUUGACGGUACCUAAUCAGAAAGCCACGGCUAACUACGUG
Molecule: ribosomal RNA, 497 nt
Filed under: uncultured bacterium
Lineage: Bacteria
Description: partial 16S ribosomal RNA
Rfam family: Bacterial small subunit ribosomal RNA
Source: RNAcentral